UACGUACUGUGCGAACGUUAUUCGGAAUCACUGGGCUUAAAGGGUGCGUAGGCGGCCAAUUAAGUAGGGUGUGAAAGGCUUCGGCUCAACCGGAGCAUUGCGCUCUAAACUGGCUGGCUUGAGUGAGAUAGGGGUGUGCGGAACUUCCAGUGGAGCGGUGAAAUGUGUUGAUAUUGGAAGGAACGCCGGUGGCGAAAGCGGCACACUGGGUCUUAACUGACGCUGAGGCACGAAAGCCAGGGGAGCGAACGGG
This 253-nucleotide ribosomal RNA is filed under the name uncultured Planctomyces sp. Its description in RNAcentral is "partial 16S ribosomal RNA". It matches the Rfam family "Bacterial small subunit ribosomal RNA", at positions 524 to 776 of the family's 1533-position model. The record is from RNAcentral. Lineage: Bacteria; Pseudomonadati; Planctomycetota; Planctomycetia; Planctomycetales; Planctomycetaceae.